AUUUAUUUGUUAUUUUAAUUGAUAACCUCUUGAUUCGUGUAUCCAAAACAACAUUAUAUUAAACAUGAAUCCGACGUUAAAGUUGUGCGUGAUAUUAAUUCUUUUAUUUCUAUAUUAUUCAUUUGUAACUUGUCAAAGAACAUAUGAUUUUGAAAUAACUGUUCAAAGUCAAGCUAUAUACGUUCUUCCAAAGUGUCCUGUAGGUUACAAAAGGAUUGGCACCAAAUGUGUUGAAACUUUUUUAGAGUCAAUAACAAGGGAACAAAAAUCAAAACAUUAACAACAUGAAACUAUUUCUAUUAUUUGUGUGCCUUUUGUUUAUUGUUUCUAAUGUCUUAGGCACAAAACUGGAAGUAAAAUUAAAGAAAAAUCAUACGACUCCAAAUCCUCGUACCAAAUGUGUCAUUUGUGGUAUAUGUCCAACCGGCCAAAGUUAUGUAAACGGAGAUUGUAGAGACGAAUGGUAAAUAAAAACUUAUAAAAAUUC
Aethina tumida (small hive beetle) is the source of this 487-nucleotide long non-coding RNA. RefSeq lists it as uncharacterized. The record is from RefSeq and is a predicted model, not a curated record. The transcript has 2 exons. NCBI's taxonomy places the organism in Eukaryota, Metazoa, Arthropoda, Insecta, Coleoptera, Nitidulidae.